Molecule: ribosomal RNA, 249 nt
Filed under: uncultured bacterium
Lineage: Bacteria
Description: partial 16S ribosomal RNA
Rfam family: Bacterial small subunit ribosomal RNA
Source: RNAcentral
CCUACGGGGCGCAGCAGUGGGGGAUAUUGGACAAUGGGGGGAACCCUGAACCAGCGACGCCGCGUGAGUGAAGAAGGAUUUCGGGAUUUAAAGCUCUGUCAGCAGGGAAGAAAGAAAUGACGGUACCUGACCAAGAAGCCCCGGCUAACUACGUGCCAGCAGCCGCGGUAAUACGUAGGGGGCAAGCGUUAUCCGGAAUUACUGGGUGUAAAGGGAGCGUAGACGGUUAAGUAAGUCUGACGUGAAAGU